CUCUUGAAGUGAGGAUUCGUCUGAACGGAUGAGAUGACUAGUGGCGGACGGGUGAGUAACGCGUGGGUAACCUGCCGUAUGCAGGGGGACAACAGUUGGAAACGACUGCUAAUACCGCAUAAGCGCACGGUUCUGCAUGGAACAGUGUGAAAAGAUUUAUCGGCAUACGAUGGACCCGCGUCUGAUUAGCUAGUUGGUGAGGUAACGGCCCACCAAGGCGACGAUCAGUAGCCGGCCUGAGAGGGUGAACGGCCACAUUGGGACUGAGACACGGCCCAAACUCCUACGGGAGGCAGCAGUGGGGAAUAUUGCACAAUGGGGGAAACCCUGAUGCAGCGACGCCGCGUGAGUGAAGAAGUAUUUCGGUAUGUAAAGCUCUAUCAGCAGGGAAGAAAAUGACGGUACCUGACUAAGAAGCCCCGGCUAACUACGUGCCAGCAGCCGC
This 445-nucleotide ribosomal RNA is filed under the name uncultured bacterium. Its description in RNAcentral is "bacterial SSU rRNA". It matches the Rfam family "Bacterial small subunit ribosomal RNA", at positions 66 to 518 of the family's 1533-position model. The record is from RNAcentral.